Cercocebus atys (sooty mangabey) is the source of this 5201-nucleotide long non-coding RNA. RefSeq lists it as uncharacterized. The record is from RefSeq and is a predicted model, not a curated record. Lineage: Eukaryota; Metazoa; Chordata; Mammalia; Primates; Cercopithecidae. The transcript is spliced from 4 exons.
CGACAACCCGGAAAUAGGCGGGGCGCGGGACCCAGCCUCUCUCCUCAUGUGAUGCUUUCUGCCACAAAAUGACCUUCACCAGAUGCAGCCUCUGGAUCUUGGACUUUCGCAGUCCCCAGAACUGGUGUCAAGAUACAUCUUGGUGUUGAAUGAAGUUGUUCCAUAUGGGCUCAUUUCUCAGGACACAAAUUAAAAUUAUCAACGCAGCUUGUAGAUACCACAGGAGGCUCAACAUUGAAAAUACAUAAGUUUGCAUUACAUUCUACAUUUUCUAAUCAAAGGAGGAAAAAUUAAGGUGAAGUAUCAGAUUCUAUGUUUAUUUUUGAAGUUAUAUAAUAAAUAUAAAUGUUGGAACAAAUGGCUUGUUAAAAUGUAUUAGGAGUCUACUUUGAGACAUCAAUCAUUAUGUUCAUUAUAUAUUUAUAUACGUUAUAUCUUUAAAUACUGGUAAUUAUUAAGUGGUACUUAAGAACACAGAGGGUAUCUGUAAAGUAACAUGUGAGCAAGAAAAGAUGUGAUAACGUAUUGAGUUAGAGUCCAAUCAGAGCUACAUCUUAAGACUAGGUAGAAGAUAGUAACUUUUACGGCUUGAUAUGAAUAAAUUGACUUGUCCUAGUUAUUUGUUAAAAACCUGUACUGGCAAAAUGCCAGCUAUAUUCAUGCACAAAGCUGAAGAUCAAGAAUUUUUUUUAAGUAGUGUCAAAUGUCAUACAUUUAAAGCAGGAAUUCUAAUAAAAUGUCUCCUUUUGUAAUUUUAUACAAAUGGAUUAAGUAUCAUCAAGAGUGGAUACAGUGUUCUUUUUGUGUAUUGAUUUUUAAGAAAUACUUUCUCAGAUGUGUCAGACAUACCUAGAUUUCUAAGGGAGGUUUUUUUUUAUUUUUUAUUUUUUAUUUUUUAUUUUUUUUUGUUGUUGUUGUAUCUUGGCUCUGUUCUUAUAAAGCAAUGUUUUGGCAAAGUCGGCAAGUUCCUUAAAUGAAGAUUUUUUUCCCCCUCCUGGGUAUCAGGAGACCAUUUUAAUUCACUCACCAGCUAAACUCUCAAAGGUACUGGUAUAUAUGGUAACAUAGGAGCCAAUAUCCUAGCUAUCAGUUUUCAUACAGCCUAGCUGGACCUUUACAUUACGGCUGCCCCACAUUUAUUGUUCUUUCAUUGCAUCUGUCAGCGUUUCCUGACAGCACAUUAUGGAGCACAUGGCUACAAAGUCAGUAUCAAUCAGUCCACGAUCAUGCAGAUAUAAGUAGCAGACUAUUGAUAAUGGGCCUUAAAUCAGAUCAUCAUGGUUUAAGCAUAAGAUUCUUAAAAGGCAGCUAUCUCAGGGGAACUUCUACUUGCCUGCACCUGUUAUAAACCCUACAAGCCAGUUUCUACUACCUACCACCUUCAACUUCUCUGAAGAAAAAAAAAAGGAUCUAUUAAGCACACAUACACAUAUGCUAUAACACAUUUCACCAUGUACAAUGAAGCAUGAAAGCAAAGGUGGCAAUUAAUAUAACUUUUUGCUCUAUUCCUUCAAAAAAUGUGCAGAAGCAAUAUAUAAUAUCUCCCCUAACACUAAUGAACCCAGACUACCAAGCCCCACAUACACCUCACAUGGAUAACAGCAGUUUUGUUGUGCUUUGGAAACGUCUUACUUCAAAAGCAUUUCAACUUGAUGUGGCCAUUUAACAAGAAAAGUGAGAGAAUGCAUAGAGUUUAGAGGUAUGCUACACCAAACUCAAGGCACCAUGUUAAAAACAAAGGCAUCUAAUUUUUCCCAGACAUAAAUAAUAAAACAAAACAGGAGUUGCAUGCAAAUUUAGUAACAUAAAAUUUAAGGUGAUAAACAGAAUGGAGGCUGGCUUCUUGUUUAGUAUUCCUCAGUUAUCACCAUAAUUGCUGCAUGUCUGUCAUCACUAGCAAAAGAAAAAAGUGUCUUUCUCAGCUGCUCCCCUGCUUGUUUUGUUCGCUGUAUUCUUGUAAAGUGGGAGAAAAUAAGUGUCAUUUAAUGAAUAGUGCUAUUCUUUGUCUGACAGCUUCAUAUCUGUUAGGUGUAGGAGGCCUACUACUUUCUUUUUCUGAUAAUGUUUUUGACAGUGUGCUAAAUUCCUCCCCCAAAAGGCCGGCGUGUAUAUUCUGCUAAAAGGGGCUUCAUCUCUCCUGAAUGGGUGCCCUCUUUUAACCCCCUUCAGCUUCUGUUCUUACAUUAAUUGAGCUGAUCAGAUUGAGCAUAUGAAUUUGUCUUUGAUGUAUUCGUAUGUUUAGUUGACGUUGCUCUCUCUCUCAUUGGCAGCGGACAGAGCUCUCAGACAAAUAGGACUGUUGCCAUGGUAACAGGCAAUAGCUAGGGAUCUCUUGAAAAAUAUUUUUAUUUCAAAAUUCAAACUGGAAAAUUCUCACUGGAUAUGGUUCUCAGUUCUAAACGUGUCAUAUCUAAUGAUGAAUGCAAUUAGGAAUCCCACCAGUGUUUUAAAUAAUAAAUUAGCUUAAUUUUCUAGGCCUGGCAUGAUGACAUACAAAUACUAAAAAGGCGUCUUCUUUUUUAAAAUCCAUGACAAAGGACUUAUUAAUGACUUUUGUUCUUAGGAUUUCAAAUUAAAACGGAUGGUAGGGUAAUGAUAGCGCUUUCUAUCUGCUGAAAACCAGAGGCCUAGAGGUAAACUUAUUUUUUUUUUAAGAAACCACUUCAAGCUGCUGUAAUAUUUGGUUAUUUCAUUUUUUAGAAAGCAGGUGUAGAAAUCCUUCUAUAAAUGUUGAAUGCUAUAGCAGUUGGUAAAUCUCAGUGGAUAAAAAAUGCCCAUAGCCAUUUUUAAUUACUGAGUAUGAGAAAAAAGGAUAGAUGGUGAGCAUAAGUUUUAUAGACCACUAUCAUCUUACAGCGGUUUUCAAAUUCUUAGUAUGUUAGUUGAAAUACAAGGAAAAAAUAAAAACAAAUACUUCAUUAUGUGACAUAAAUUGUAGUUAUUUUAAAACUUAAUUUAUUCACGACUAUACAAUUCCAGUUAUAUUAAUUAUUAUUUCCCCUAGUCAUACCAUGUGGGGCUUAGAGAACAAUGAAAAUUACUGUACAGCUUGAUAGCUUCAAGGAUCUGCCAUAAUGUGUAAUCACAUUACAAAGAGGGCUACUAGAAACACACCAAAUUUUUCUAUUCCUUAAACUUUGUUUUUAGCAUUGUUCAGCUCUUUGUAUCUGUUAUUCACGGUGUUAUGUGUCAGAAUGCAGAACUUAACUUUUUGAUAUUAACUGGCAAGGGUGCUACUUUCUUUAAUUUUGAGUUAAGCCAGUCACAAUAAUAAAAUCAAGCAAAUCCAUGUGUAUUUUGGGUUUGUUUGAAGGAAAUGGAUCUUACUCAAAUUUUAGAAUGUCAGCAUACAAAAUAAUGAACAAAGAGGUUAAAUUAAAUCCAAAUGGUAAUGAGUGUCUGUAGUACAUGCCAUCUCGUGUUAUAUAUGGCUUUUACAUUUAUACAUUUAAAAAAAGUUUGUGUCUAAGGCAAAAAGAUAGAAAAAAGUUAAACCUAAGACACUAGUAGUUAUGAAUUUCUAUGCUUUUACUAUUACUUUAAAUAAAAUUUUAUUACUAUGGCCUAAAUAAAAUAUGAAUAUUAAAAGUUUUAUUCUACAUUAUACUACUAAACCACCUGAAAUAUUACUUUUUUCCUCAAAAACUGAAGUAUAAUAUUUUCUAUAAUACCAAAAAAAAAAACAACCCUUAUAUGAAAAACUACAGGGGACUAGCAAUGAACAUCUUAGCUUCUAUUGGUAAGUGAACAUUUCUCCCCUUAACUAUAUUUCCAGUCUAUUUUCAUCAAAAAUCCACGGUGAAGACAGUAAAUCCAAAUCUACUUCAGAGUUCACAUUGACGGCUGUGGCCUGCUAAAGCUCUCUGGAAGGUGAGGACAUACCUAGGAGAUCCCGGCAUGAACCUCACCCCAUCUGGCUGUCCUGAGAGUCAUAUAUUAAUAGAAACAGUCCACUCUGAAUCAGGAGGAUGUAUCUUCCUCAGUCAGCCUUUAGUUGUUCAUCUGAGUUGGGGCAGUAUGCCUUUGCAUUCUUUCAGAGUGAUUAAAUGCAAUUUUUAAAAGUUUAUUUUAUUUUUUUAAUUACAAAGGUAAUUCAUACUUAUGCACAAAAACCAAAAAAUAUUGAAAGUGUCCCUUUAUCUCCAAAGCUAACCACCCUGUAUUAAAAGAACCACCAGCAAUUGGUUAUAUAUCCUUUCAGACCUCUAAUCAAAGACAUUUUUGAAAGUACAGGAUUUCAUUCACCUUCCACCUUAUGAUCCUUGACGAUGAGUGAUAUGAGAAAGAGGGAAAGGAAAGCAGGAGUGUCUUUCUGUUUCUUUUUCCUAUGCCUAAACUAGAUAGUAAGGUAUGAGAAAGAACACUCAUGUUUCAUUUCUCACUCAUCAACAGUCACAACCCUCAAGUGGGAAGGGAGUGUGAAUCCAGGUGGUUUCUUUCCCACCACUGUCAAAAUCAUCUAAGUGCCUAGAAAUCACAACCCUCAAUACAUUCCUGGUCUUCCCAGGUCUGAGCCAUUUCCCUGAUGGAAAUAACUAUCCAUAAGUGAUGUUACAUACAGCUCACCAGAGUACCAUAUUACCAUGCUGAGUUGGAAAAAGAAAGCCCUGCCUUUCCGUGUUUAAAAUAUUUUGAAAAUACAAAGCAUGAAGAUGCCAGUUUCUUUUCUUGCUCAGCACUGCAAAGAUCUACUCCAAACACAGAGUGGCUCAUUGACUUUGGCGCUGAAGGCUUAAAUCAGCUCCAUAAGUGUCCAGCAAGCCAAAAUGAAAGCUAAACACACAUUGUUACUGAAGCCUAUGCUGCAUUUCACAACUCCAGGGCUAUAACUUAAAGACAAUUUACCUCAGAAAAUAUAAGGCAGCACAGGGCAGUGGCAGGAGACCUAGAUUUGGAAUCAGAAUGACAGGGUCAGACAUUUCUCACUAGCACCCAGACCUUAAGUGACCUCCCUGAGCCAUAACGUCUUAAUCUAUAAAACAGGGAUCAUAAUAUCAGCCCUCCUCCUAGGGUUAUUGUGCAGUGAAAAUGAGAUAAAUACGAAUGUGCUUUAAAAUAUAUAUAGAUUGCAUUUAAACCCUGUAUUAUCUAUAUUUUUUAAAUGAAAAUCAAACCUAUUGAUUUUAUAAAUUACAUUUUCCAUUAAAAUCUUGAAAUUUAUAAGAAUCAAGUGUGGAUAACUAAUUUAGUCUUACAAUGCA